GCUAAGUUCGCGGCAGGAGCCGGGGGAAUAGAGGUGGGGCGAGCGUGAGAGGGAUUGAAGAGGGUGAAAGGGUGCGUGGGGGGGUAUUUAAGGCAGUGGUGAAAGCCGGCGGAUGAACCGAGGAAUUGCAAUUUAAGAUGAAUAGGUUGAGUACAGGUGAAGUGGGCGGAAUACAUCAGGUAGCGGUGAAAUGCUUAGAUAUGAGGUAGAACACCGAUUGCGAAGGCAGCUCACUAAGCUGUAACUGACACUGAGGCACGAAAGCGUGGGUAGCGAACAGGAUUAGAUACCCUAGUAGUC
Molecule: ribosomal RNA, 300 nt
Filed under: uncultured Pyrobaculum sp.
Lineage: Archaea; Thermoproteati; Thermoproteota; Thermoprotei; Thermoproteales; Thermoproteaceae
Description: bacterial SSU rRNA
Rfam family: Bacterial small subunit ribosomal RNA
Source: RNAcentral